GUGGGGCUUCGGCCCUCUCGAGAUAGAACCCUUGCCUUUUUGAGUACCUUUCGUUUCCUCGGCAGGCUCGCCUGCCAAUGGGGACCCCAAUAAACCCUUUGUAAUACCUGUAAUCGUCUGACAAAACAAACAAAAAUUAAAACUUUCAACAACGGAUCUCUUGGUUCU
RNAcentral lists this unclassified non-coding RNA (168 nucleotides) under rhizosphere metagenome. RNAcentral's name for it is "partial ribosomal RNA internal transcribed spacer region". The record is from RNAcentral.